GGCUUAACACAUGCAAGUCGAGGGGCAGCAUUGGGAUAGCUUGCUAUUCCAGAUGGCGACCGGCGCACGGGUGAGUAACGCGUAUCCAACCUUCCCCUUAGUAGAGGAUAGCCCGGCGAAAGUCGGAUUAAUACUCUAUGUUGUGUUUUGAGGACAUCUGACGAACACCAAAGGUUCACCGCUAAGGGAUGGGGAUGCGUCUGAUUAGCUUGUUGGCGGGGUAACGGCCCACCAAGGCUACGAUCAGUAGGGGUUCUGAGAGGAAGGUCCCCCACAUUGGAACUGAGACACGGUCCAAACUCCUACGGGAGGCAGCAGUGAGGAAUAUUGGUCAAUGGCCGAGAGGCUGAACCAGCCAAGUAGCGUGCAGGAUGACGGCCCUAUGGGUUGUAAACUGCUUUUAUGCGGGGAUAAAGUGCGCCACGUGUGGCGUUUUGUAGGUACCGCAUGAAUAAGGACCGGCUAAUUCCGUGCCAGCAGCCGCGGUAAUACGGAAGGUCCGGGCGUUAUCCGGAUUUAUUGGGUUUAAAGGGAGCGCAGGCGGAAGCUUAAGCGUGACGUGAAAUGUAGGUGCUCAACAUCUGCACUGCGUCGCGAACUGGGUUUCUUGAGUGAGUACGACGUGGACGGAAUUCGUGGUGUAGCGGUGAAAUGCUUAGAUAUCACGAAGAACCCCGAUUGCGAAGGCAGUCCACGAGUCCUUUACUGACGCUAAAGCUCGAAAGUGCGGGUAUCGAACAGGAUUAGAUACCCUGGUAGUCCGCACGGUAAACGAUGGAUGCCCGCUGUUUGCGAUAUAUUGUAAGCGGCCAAGCGAAAGCGUUAAGCAUCCCACCUGGGGAGUACGCCGGCAACGGUGAAACUCAAAGGAAUUGACGGGGGCCCGCACAAGCGGAGGAACAUGUGGUUUAAUUCGAUGAUACGCGAGGAACCUUACCCGGGCUUGAACUGCAGCAGAGGAUACAGAGAUGUUGACGCCCUUCGGGCUGCUGUGGAGGUGCUGCAUGGUUGUCGUCAGCUCGUGCCGUGAGGUGUCGCUUAGUGCCAUAACGAGCGCACCCCUUUCGUCAGUUGCAUCAGUGAUGCUGGGCACUCUGGCGACACUGCACCGUAAGUUAGAAAAGUGAUGACGUCAAUCAGCCGCUACGUCGGCUACACGUGUCAAUGUGAUCGAAGCAGGGCCGCACCUGCUGAUCAUGAAGUAUCUCAGUCGAAUGGGUUGACGCACAUGACGAUCGGUAGCUACACAUGCGGUAUACGCGUGUUAACCUGCACCUACCUACCUGGCUGA
This 1291-nucleotide ribosomal RNA is filed under the name uncultured rumen bacterium. RNAcentral describes it as "partial 16S ribosomal RNA". It matches the Rfam family "Bacterial small subunit ribosomal RNA", at positions 45 to 1271 of the family's 1533-position model. The record is from RNAcentral.